UUACGGCCACAUCACGUUGUAACAACGGUUCCCGUACGAUCACCGAAGUUAAGCAAUGACGAGCCUGAUCAGUACCUAGAUGGGUAACUGCUUGGGAAUACCAGGUGCUGCAAG
Molecule: non-coding RNA, 114 nt
Organism: Acanthosepion pharaonis
Lineage: Eukaryota; Metazoa; Mollusca; Cephalopoda; Sepiida; Sepiidae
Source: the annotation of a GenBank genome assembly